GAUGAAGAACGUAGCGAAAUGCGAUAAGUAAUGUGAAUUGCAGAAUUCAGUGAAUCAUCGAAUCUUUGAACGCACAUUGCGCCCCUUGGUAUUCCGAGGGGCAUGCCUGUUCGAGCGUCAUUAUAACCCCUCAAGCUCAGCUUGGUGUUGGGGCCUGCUGCACUGGCAGCCCUUAAAAUCAGUGGCGGCGCCAUCUGGCUCUAAGCGUAGUAAUUCUUCUCGCUAUGGAGUCCUGGUGGAUGCUUGCCAUCAACCCCCAAUUUUUCUAUGGUUGACUCGGAUCAGGUAGGGAUACCCGCUGAACUUAAGCAUAUCAAUAAGCGGAGGA
This 328-nucleotide unclassified non-coding RNA is filed under the name soil metagenome. RNAcentral's name for it is "partial contains 5.8S ribosomal RNA, internal transcribed spacer 2, and large subunit ribosomal RNA". The stretch from base 1 to 120 matches the Rfam family "5.8S ribosomal RNA", at positions 35 to 154 of the family's 154-position model. The record is from RNAcentral.